AGACGAGAAAAGACAACCCUUUUAUCUAUUCGCCAUCUUGUGCUCGAGUUAAAUCAAAGCAAGACGACCCCAAAUCUUCGUUAACUGCAAAAAAUAAUUGACCUUACUAACCACAAAUAUGCGGCGGCAUUUGCUGUUGUCAGCUGUGGUCUUUAUUCUCUUACACCAUCAGUUUUGCUCCUCUCUGACUUGUCAUUCGUGCUACUCCACGAAGUCCUGGGCCGAGUGUCUAAACCAAGCUGUUCCUAGUACCUGUCCCUCUCUCCCUGGGGCGUGCUGUGUUGAGUUCCAUCGAUCCAUUCACUUCAAAAACAAACGUGUCGAAAACCAGUUUGCAAAAUCCUGCUUUCAUCAGUCUGUGUGUAACCAUGGUGACUGUGUUCGUUCGUUUAUACCCUCAGUUAGCGUGACAUGCACCUUCGGUUGCUGUAACGCAACACUCUGCAAUGACAAGUACGGCAUAGCACGCGUGACUCGGAAUUCUGGAGUUUCUUUUCGGAAUUUGCUAAGGAGGUCACAAAGGCACAACACAUAACAUUCCGGUGGUAGUAAUUCAUAACACGGGUUCCCUGUGUUAAGUUGCCACAGGUAUCCCAACCUCGCACUUUGCUUAUCCAUGUAUCUAAAUGUAAAGCGUUGAUUUGAUAAUAAAGAAAACUUCAUAGUGAUCA
This is a long non-coding RNA of Actinia tenebrosa (Australian red waratah sea anemone), 671 nucleotides long. The record is from RefSeq and is a predicted model, not a curated record. NCBI's taxonomy places the organism in Eukaryota, Metazoa, Cnidaria, Anthozoa, Actiniaria, Actiniidae.